This is a non-coding RNA of Cinara cedri, 251 nucleotides long. NCBI's taxonomy places the organism in Eukaryota, Metazoa, Arthropoda, Insecta, Hemiptera, Aphididae. The record is from the annotation of a GenBank genome assembly.
AAAUCCGAAAUGAGCCCGAAAAUCAAAACAAAGUUUCUGUGUACACGCAUCGUUAUAGUAGAAUCGUAGGUAACAUAAAAACACCGGUAAAUGCCUACAGAUUCCUUACUCUAAACUGUAACGAAACAUACCGAAACGGCUUCUAUGUCGAAGACAAUCCGCUACGCAAUAAUCGAACGGUCUGGCGAACUGCAUAAUAAUUGUUUAAUCGCAGUUGCAAGCAGUCGAGGAAUAAACUCGUCGCGUACACA